Molecule: non-coding RNA, 2567 nt
Organism: Callithrix jacchus (white-tufted-ear marmoset)
Lineage: Eukaryota; Metazoa; Chordata; Mammalia; Primates; Cebidae
Source: RefSeq, a predicted model, not a curated record
GUACCGGACGUCGGAGGUGGAGGUUGUGGAAUUCGUUCUUCGAGAGAAUUCACGAAAAGCCGCUUUCCGUCCUACAUUCCUAAAGGAAGGCGUGUGUUGGGCCUUUCUUUCAGUCGUGAGGGAGGCGUCGACAGCCUGUGGAAGUCUUGAGUUGAGGCUUGCGGGAUCUUUUCCCGAGAAAGCGCAGGGUAAAGCCGCAGGUGAAGAUGUCCAACUACGUGAACGACAUGUGGCCCGGCUCGCCGCAGAAAGAUUCGCCCUCAGCCUCGCGGUCGGGUGGGUCCAGCCGGCUGUCGUCGCGCUCUAGGAGCCGCUCUUUUUCCAGAAGCUCUCGGUCCCAUUCCCGCGUCUCCAGUCGAUUUUCGUCCAGGAGUCGGAGCCGGAGCCGGAGGAGCCGGUCAAGGUCCUGUUCCAGAAGGCGCCACCAGCGGAAGUACAGGCGCUACUCGCGGUCAUUUUCGCGGAGCCGGUCGCGAUCCCGCAGCCACCGGUACCAAGAGAGGCGCUACGGGCUGUCUAGGAGAUACUACCGGUCUCCUUCGCGGUACCGUUCCCGGUCCCGUUCCCGUAGCAGGUCGCGCUCUCGGGGAAGGUCGUACUACGGAAGGGCGUACGCAAUCGCGCGGGGGCGGCGCUAUUACGGCUUCGGUCGCACAGUGUACCCGGAGGAUUACGGCAGAUGGAGGGACAGAUCCAGGACGAGGUCGCGGAGCAGAACCCCCCUUCGCUUAAGUGAAAAAGAUCGAAUGGAGCUGUUAGAAAUAGCAAAAGCCAAUGCAGCGAAAGCUUUAGGAACAACGAACAUUGAAUUGCCAGCUAGUCUCAGAACUGUUCCUGUAGCCAAAGAAACAAGCCGUGGAACAAGUUUAUCAAGUAAUGGUGCAAAGCCCGAAGUAAGUAUUCUAGGUUUGUCCUAACAAAACCUUAAGAAAGCCACUGUCAAAUCUGAUUAGCCAUUUAUUAUUUAUUUACCUUAGACUAUACUUUUUGGAAAGUCUAGCUAUAUAUGUAAAACGUGUUGAAUUCUGAGUAGCAGAUCUGAAGAUAGGCAAAGCCAUACCCAGGAAAGUGGAGAUUAAUGAACUUAAUUGGCCGUGUGUGGUGCCUCAUGCCUGUAAUGAGGCAGAUAGCUUGAGUCCAGGAGUUCAAGAUCAGCCUGGACAACGUGGCUGCGUCUUUACAAAAAAUACAAAAAUGGUGGCACAUGACUGUAGUCUCAGCUGUUUGGGAGGCUGAGGCGGAAGGAUGUUUCAGCCCAGGUUGCAAGGUUGCACCAUUGUACUCCAGCCUGGGCAGCAGAGCGAGACCCAGUCUGAAAAAAAAUUUUUUGUUUUACUUUUUUUCAGUUAACACAGUACUGCUAGUCUCAACGUUAAUAUAUUGUAGUUGGUACUUUGGUGAUUUCUAUUGCCAGUUUUUUAAAGUUAGUCUUUAGAGUAUUUGUAGCUUUUAUUUGCAGCAUUAUGUUCCCACAAAUUUUGUACUCAGCAUAUACAGUAUAGUUUAUCUGCUUUAUUUCUGUCUUAUAGAAAUCAUGAAUGUGGUCUGCAGACAUUGAUGAAGAAAAUCUGUUGAUGUUUUGAGAGAUUACAGAAGAGGAGGCCUGCUUCACUUGCAGAUAAGUUUAUUAUAAUUCUCCAGAAAUGUGCAGGAUGUGCAUUAGCAAAUUGCACUGUACUUUUAAGUUAUAAAGAUACUCUGUCUAGGCUGGGUGGCUCACACCUAUAAUCCCAGCACUUUGGGAGGCCGAGAUGGGUGGAUCACCAGAGGUCAGGAGUUUGAGAACAGCCUAGCCAACAUGGCAAAACCUUGUCUCUACUAAAAAUACAAAGAUUGCAGCGAGGUGCAGUGGUUCACGCCUGUAAUUCCAACACUUUGGGGAGGCCAAGGCAGGUGGAUCAUGAGGUCCGGAGAUGGAGACAAUCCCUGGCGAACAUCAUGAAACCCCAUCUCUACUAAAAAUACAAAAAUUAGCUGGGCGUGGCAGCCUGUAGUCUCAGCUAUUUGGGAGGCUGAGACAGGGGAAUAGCUUGAACCUGGGAGGCAGAGUUUGCAGUGAGCCACGUUCAUUGCACCACUGCACUCCAGCCUUGGGACAGAGUGAAACGCCCUCUUAAAACCAAAACAGAAACCAAAAAUUACCCGGGCGUGGUGUGUGCCUGUAGUCCCAAAUAAUGGGGAGGCUGAGGUGGGAGAAUCACUUGAACCCAGUAAGUGGAGGUUGCAGUGAACCAAGAUCAUGCCACUGUACUCCAUCCAGCCUGAUUAGCAGGGCACAGUGAAACUUUGAGGGAAAAAAAGAUUCUACGAUAUCUAAAUGAACCUGUAAUUGGGCCCAGAUGUGAGUAUGCUCAGUAUUAGUAGACAUGGUCUGUCUUGUUUGUUCAGAUGAUUAGGGGCCCAACUGGCAAAUACCUUAAUUUCUUAAAACUAGGUAUUUUCUGGUGUGACUUUACUUUUCAAAAGUUAACUUGAUUCAACUUGAGAAAACUGAUUAAAAAAUUGUUCUUUAAAUUACUUAAAUUUGCCAGCAAGGAAAUAAAAUAAUUAUGGGAAGAGUGUCUUAA